This 303-nucleotide ribosomal RNA is filed under the name uncultured bacterium. RNAcentral describes it as "bacterial SSU rRNA". It matches the Rfam family "Bacterial small subunit ribosomal RNA", at positions 28 to 334 of the family's 1533-position model. The record is from RNAcentral.
GAUGAACGCUAGCGGCAGGCUUAACACAUGCAAGUCGUGGGCAGCGCGGACUUCGGUCUGGCGGCGACCGGCAAACGGGUGCGGAACACGUACGCAACCUCCCUCAGAGCGGGAAUAGCCUCUCGAAAGAGAGAUUAAUACCCCAUAGUAUCUUGAAGACACAUGUCUAUGAGAUUAAAGCUUCGGCACUUUGAGAUGGGCGUGCGGCUGAUUAGGUAGUUGGUAGGUAACGGCCUACCAAGCCGACGAUCAGUAGCUGAUGUGAGAGCAUGAUCAGCCACACGGCACUGAGACACGGGCCCA